Molecule: long non-coding RNA, 2312 nt
Organism: Mauremys mutica (yellowpond turtle)
Lineage: Eukaryota; Metazoa; Chordata; Testudines; Geoemydidae
Exons: 5
Source: RefSeq, a predicted model, not a curated record
UGUGGCUUAAGCAGUGUUUAGCAUUAUUGGAGGUUUUUGAGAGUAAGUGCUGGGGAACCUACUACUCUAAAACUGGAUUGAAGAGGAGCCUGGGGGGCGGUAGAAGACAUUGCAUUGAUAGCCAGUAUUGUGUUUUGGCACUAUUUGUUUGGGCCAGUGAUAAGCCAGAAGGGUGAGACUAUAUGUGAUCUAUCUGGAGGGUCAAGUCACUAGAAGAACUUGAUCACCGCAAGGCCUGAAUGCCUAUCAGAAGGAAGUGACUGAAGGAGAAAGUCUUGCAAUGAACUGCUUAGUUGUGUGGGGCUCACUGACUGGCUAAUACUUACUGCAGUGGACAUGAGAAUGUUUCCAAGUGCAUCCAGGGUGCCUAAAUGCCAGAGGUUUUGUAUCUAGAGGACAACUUUCUGUAUCUUCAUAUUUAUUAAUAUUAUGGCACAGUGCUUCUGAAAUCCCUAUCCACUUCCUUGUAAACUAACUGACCUUGGAGCAAAGUACUUUAGAAACCAACUGAACCAAGAGAAGACAUUGCUGGAUACAUGAGCUCCCUCCUGCUGUCCCGUUUGUCAGAGUAUGCCACUAAGCUUGUGGCAUUGUUUUGGGGGCAUGGUUGACAGACUUUCAGGAAGGCCAGAAACAUACCCUGUGAAUUUUACAGGAGGCAGGAAUUUGGAAGUGAAAAUAUGAGAAAAAUGAAUUUGUGCUGGCAAGGAUUUGAUACUAAACAAACCAGUCACCAUAACUUAUGAAAAGUAGAGUUCUUUGGAUGGAAUGCCGCUACAGACUUCUCCGACUUAGCACUCUUUCAAGGCACCUAUUGAGGAAAGCUGGACCAGACUGAAGUGGGGUUUGAAAGACAAAAGACCAAAUAAUGGAUGCCAAAGACAGAAGUAGUCUUAUCAAACCAGAGUUCUCCUUAAAGUCAGACCAAGCGAUGAGUUUCAAGGUAAAAUGAAAAGGUUCAAUUUCAGGGCAACUGACCCAGCACCUUUGGAAUGACAAAUGUGGCAGUGAUAACCUUGUAUUGUAUUUGAGAACAGCAGCAGCUUGUAUUUCAAAUCUAAUGCUCGAGAUUUUCAAAUAUGUUAGGCUUGUAAUUGUGGGAUUGUCAAAAUAGUCUAAGGAAGAUGAACACUAAAACUGAGCACUUAACUCCCUUAAAACCUUUGAAAGUCCCAGUGGCCAGAUUUUCAAAAGCGCAACCAAAUGCUUCUGUUAUUCCUACAUUGCUUAAACUAGUGUUACCGAGAGAGAAUUUUUCCACAUUCAUUCAUCCUUGCCACGUUGCUCCUUCAGCCUUCCUCCUAAACUCACACAAGCAGAGGAGAAUUCCUUCACACUAAUUUAUAUUGUUGGUCUGUAUAUCUCAAGGUGAUGGCUCUGUUCAAGAAACUUAAAGGUCAAUACUCAAGUUCAGUUUUAUGGAAACUAUAGAAACUUCAGAGUAGCUUGGGCAGAAGAGGAGGGAAUGUUUUUCUCCAACUUUUGUUCAACAAAAAUAACCACAUCACAUUUUGUGACUUGUAUUUACUACAACCAUAAAAUAAUGGGAACCAUUCUGCAGAUAAGAUUAAUUAUAUUAAAUUGUACUUUAUUAUCUUUGACUAUACAUCUUUAGGAGAAAUCUACAUAUGAGAAAACAAAGGGAAAAAGAUGGAUAAACGCUAGUUAUUCUGACCUUUUUUACAGGCCCUUCCUGGUUCUAUAUUCUAUGUUGCAAUAAAAUUCCAUUUUAUACUGCAGCUGCAUGAUAGAAGUUGCUCUGAAUUCUUACAGUCCAAUAAUUGGACUGCUCACUAACACUAAAGUAUAGAUUUUUCUUUUAGAAAUUACUUUAAAAAAAACAGCAUCUAGCACACAGGGCAUCUAUAUUGAUCAGCCUGUUGUAGCAAAAAGUGGUUAAUUUAUAUGUUUAUAAAUUGAAAAGCACUUUCUAUGCCACUACUGAACAAAGUUGUGGCUCCAACUCUGUUUCCUUCAGUGAAGUGUCUUGAAGGCAAGAGUGCUCAGACUGAGUUCUAUUUUCAUCUGCCACUUCAACUCAGACUUCUUUCUAUAUAACCACCAUUAAAAAUGUCCGUGCCACUUUUACUAAAAUCUUCAUCCAUGCUUUCAUCUCCCCUCAUGAUGACCUUUUGAAAUGGAAAAGACAAAAAGAAUGUUAGGAAGAGGAAUUAUUUAAUGCCCCUCCACCCCCAAAAAAGUGAAGAGCUAAUGAGAGCUCAAUUUUUUAAGCCAUCUGAAAACAUUUUUGUUUUAGCUACAGUUCUUAGCAGUUAUCCCUAUUCUUCUCUGCAACUCUAUUGUAAGUAUAU